RNAcentral lists this unclassified non-coding RNA (260 nucleotides) under fungal sp. Its description in RNAcentral is "partial internal transcribed spacer region". The stretch from base 1 to 46 matches the Rfam family "Eukaryotic small subunit ribosomal RNA", at positions 1786 to 1831 of the family's 1831-position model. The record is from RNAcentral. RNAcentral also lists the same sequence under 1 other name. Lineage: Eukaryota; Fungi.
AAGUCGUAACAAGGUUUCCGUAGGUGAACCUGCGGAAGGAUCAUUACCGAGUCCUGGGGAUCUAACCGGUCCUCAACCUCUCAACCCCUUGCGAACGUACCUCGUUGCUUCGGCGGGCCUGCUGGCUCCACGGUCAGCUGCCGGCUCAGGCUGGCUCGCGCCCGCCGAAGGGUCAUCGUAAACUCUUCGCACCGAAAUCAAGUCCGAGCGGGUUCAUGGGAAAUGAAGCAAAACUUUCAACAACGGAUCUCUUGGUUCCG